Molecule: long non-coding RNA, 1078 nt
Filed under: Equus asinus (donkey)
Lineage: Eukaryota; Metazoa; Chordata; Mammalia; Perissodactyla; Equidae
Description: lncRNA (ENSEASG00005033511.1)
Source: RNAcentral
UCCAAAUAAAACCGUCAUAAACUGUGAAAGCCAAAGGAAAUGAAGAAAUCUCGAAAGCGGCCAGAGAAAACGACACAUUACAAGCAGGAGAAUAAAAAUUUGAUUGCAGUUUUCUCACAGAAACCACAGAGCCCAGAACGAAAAGAUCGCUCAGCUCAGAUUCUGGAUGCCAUGAAAACGUCCUGCAGGAACGAAGUAAGAUAAAGACCUUCUCAGACGAAGGAAAACUAAGACGUUUCGUUGCCAACAGACCUGCUGUAAAAUCAGUGUUAAAGGAAGUUCUUCAGAUAGAAGGGAAAUGAUCCCAGAGAGAAGUUAGAAUUUCGGAAAUGAAGGAAGAGCAGCAGAAAUGGUGAACAUCCUAGUGAAUACGACAAACUACUCUUCUACUAAGCUUUGACAGCACGUACGACGACUGAGAGCCGAAACUAUAACGCACUUGGGGAUGGGGGCGCUUAAUGGUGGAGACAGAACAUAAAUGAUGCACAUAUAAGAUGGGGAGACUGAGGCAGAAAAGGAAAGUUGCUACAUGCUCAAGACCCCACAGCAAAGCACUGUUAGAACCAGGCCUGGAACCACAUCUCCCAUGGUGAAGUCGAAGCGCUGGGGCCCUCCCCGGUCCCCCUGCCUACCGUGGAGCAAGAUUCCAUGUCCAGCUGUCCUCCAGGACUGUCAAUAACUGGCACAUGGAGAAACUAAAGCAUCGAGAAGUUAAGAAACGUGCCCAAGGUUAUACAUCUAAUAAGUCUUGGCUGUGGAAUUUGAACCCAGAUCUGGCUCUAGCAUCUAAGUUCCAGACCCUCGCUGUCCUCUCAGGAAGACCAAUCCAGAGUAGAACUUUCUAAGACAUUCCGUGGUCUGGAGGAAAAUAUGCCCUGGCUGCUGCUAAGCCGUAUCCCACACCCCCAGAAGCAUUUCUAACCAGGGGAAAUUGGUUAUUGAGCAUACAGAGGGCAGUUGUGAAGGAAAAAAUGAGAAGGUAGGAGCUGACAAGAGACCCCAGGUGCCUGAGAGGCGGUGAAGAGAGGGGAGGCACUGUUGCUAAGCAACCGACCUGAGAGGGGUCCUCCCAUCCUCU